AGCGGCGAACGGGUGAGUAACACGUAGGUGAUCUGCCCAUCAGACGGGGACAACGAUUGGAAACGAUCGCUAAUACCGGAUAGGACGAAAGUUUAAAGGUGCUUCUGGCACCGCUGAUGGAUGAGCCUGCGGCGCAUUAGCUAGUUGGUAGGGUAAAGGCCUACCAAGGCGACGAUGCGUAGCCGACCUGAGAGGGUGAACGGCCACACUGGGACUGAGACACGGCCCAGACUCCUACGGGAGGCAGCAGUAGGGAAUCUUCGGCAAUGGGCGAAAGCCUGACCGAGCAAUGCCGCGUGAAUGAUGAAGGCCUUCGGGUUGUAAAAUUCUGUUAUAAGGGAAGAACGACUUUAGUAGGAAAUGGCUAGAGUGUGACGGUACCUUAUGAGAAAGCCACGGCUAACUACGUGCCAGCAGCCGCGGUAAUACGUAGGUGGCGAGCGUUAUCCGGAAUUAUUGGGCGUAAAGAGCGCGCAGGUGGUUGAUUAAGUCUGAUGUGAAAGCCCACGGCUUAACCGUGGAGGGUCAUUGGAAACUGGUCGACUUGAGUGCAGAAGAGGGAAGUGGAAUUCCAUGUGUAGCGGUGAAAUGCGUAGAGAUAUGGAGGAACACCAGUGGCGAAGGCGGCUUCCUGGUCUGUAACUGACACUGAGGCGCGAAAGCGUGGGGAGCAAACAGGAUUAGAUACCCUGGUAGUCCACGCCGUAAACGAUGAGUGCUAAGUGU
This 726-nucleotide ribosomal RNA is filed under the name uncultured bacterium. RNAcentral describes it as "bacterial SSU rRNA". It matches the Rfam family "Bacterial small subunit ribosomal RNA", at positions 94 to 823 of the family's 1533-position model. The record is from RNAcentral.